Molecule: long non-coding RNA, 292 nt
Filed under: Medicago truncatula (barrel medic)
Lineage: Eukaryota; Viridiplantae; Streptophyta; Magnoliopsida; Fabales; Fabaceae
Description: lncRNA gene43706
Source: RNAcentral
CUUCAUUUUCUCACUCUCUUCAACAAUCUUCUUCACAGCCUCACUAACUUUUUCAGCAAUCUGAGAUUCUUUUUCAACACCGGUGCCGAAUCAAAAACCACCAACACCACGUCAGAUCAUUCACCACCACCACCUCAACAGAACUCUCAGAUCUUGGAGUUUUUAGCUUCUGUUCAUGCUGUGUUUUUGUUGCGUUUUUAACUUCUGUUCCUCUUCCUGUUCAUGUUGUGUUCCUCUUUCUGCUGCGUUUUUAACUUCUGUUCAUGAUGUGUUUUUGUUGUUGGAAAUUUAA